AAUGAAUUACCUAAUAAAAAGGGUUGUCUUGAUGGGACAAAUUAUGUAAAUUUAUUUUACAUUCAUU
This 67-nucleotide transfer RNA is filed under the name Compsilura concinnata. RNAcentral describes it as "tRNA-Ile". Lineage: Eukaryota; Metazoa; Arthropoda; Insecta; Diptera; Tachinidae. The record is from RNAcentral.